GUAUCGUGAGUUCCCUUUCUACCUUCGGCCACUUUCUUUCUAGCACAGCUCUCGGCUGUCUCCACCGUGUCUAAGAAGCUCUGGAAAUCAGAAUGUGCUCUAGAAGAUGGUGUUUGGAUCUGAAACUGUUACUGCCUCUGUUGUUUCUUGCGAUCAGCAUUCAAGCAGAUCAUUCAGUGCCUGAGAUGUUCAAGCUCUCUGGCAGCAAUGUGACUCUGCAAAUCUCUGAGAGCCUGCCUCAGGACUACAAGAGACUCACCUGGUUUUACAGUCACAGCCAGAAGAUUAUAGAAUGGGAGCACAACCAGCCAAGGACCUUUGGUCUUCAAUUUAGAGACAGGGUCCAGCUUAUUCGUCAAAGUGGUGCCCUACAUAUCACUAAUGUCCAGAGAGAAGACAGCAGCACCUACUUCAUGAGGGUGUUGAAGACGGAUGGGAAGUUGCAAGAGUGGAAGAUCACCCUGAAGGUGCUUGAUCCUGUUCCUCAGCCUUCUAUAACCAUUGUGAAGGCAAAGAAAGAGCACAACACCUGUUACCUGAAUCUGUCAUGUGUGGUGCCAGACCAGUCUGUAAAUUACAGGUGGUAUGACUACUCAGGGCUCCUUCCAAAGGAGCUCCAGAGCAGCAGGCUGGAAAUCAUCGUUAGGCCAGAAAACUUCUCCAAGUUUUACAUCUGUGAAGUCAGCAAUCCUGUGAGCAGCAAGUAUGGCACUGUCUGCUUCACAUCACUCUGUAUCCAGGCUACCCGGCCAGUCUUCUGGCCUCUGCUGAUGCCCUGCUUCAAUGCUGUCACACACCCAAGGGCGCAGUUUGAUGUCUGGCCAUGAGACCACAGCCUGGAGAGGCGGUUCCAACCCUACCUUUAUAUCUGCACCACAUCCUGAGAUCUGGAAACAAGAAGAGGGUGAUCCCUGUCCCUUAUAAAUUCGAGUGACUGUUCAUCUGCAGAGAGGAUAAAAGCAACAAUAUGCCCAUUUCUGCAGCAGCAGGUGGCAUGGAGGUUAAGGCACCGGAUCUCACAUAGCGGACCUGGCAGCUUAAAAAUCGUACCAGCUGGAUCCCCUGGCAUAACUUGGUUUGCAACUUGUCUAGAAGUCAUGGUGCCCAUCCUUCUUGGCUUUCAUCUUACUUUAAACGAGCUCAUCUAACCCAAGAGUGAAACUUCAAGACCAGGGGGCCAUGCCUCCAUCAACAACCAUGUUUCUAACCAAGGCAGAAGCCUGGGCUGGAUGGGAUGGUGGAGAGUCUGUUGUCGAGCCAUCUACAAGGAUUUUCAAGUGAACAUUUAAAAAACUACAGUAAUUAUUUAAUUUUAUAUCCGCUAGUUGUUUUUCAAUAUGUAAUACAUAUGUAGAUGCACGUACAGUGCUCCCACCAAAAUAAUGACAAUAACAUCAUGCAAAUUUUU
Tupaia belangeri chinensis (Chinese tree shrew) is the source of this 1408-nucleotide RNA transcript. It is a transcript of the gene named CD48 molecule, with no coding region annotated. Lineage: Eukaryota; Metazoa; Chordata; Mammalia; Scandentia; Tupaiidae. The transcript is spliced from 5 exons. The record is from RefSeq and is a predicted model, not a curated record.